UAAUUCCUGAUCAGCAAGUGGUAUUUAAGAUGUCUGAAAUGAUUCGGGGCGGGUCGCCUGUGGUUUACGAUAAGAAUAAAGUUUCAAGAUUUGGUGUUUUGGACAAAUAUGCAAAAGAUGGUGAAGGUUUGAAGUGGGUAGAAGUACCUGAUUGUUUUUGUUUCCAUUUAUGGAAUGCUUGGGAAGAGCCCGAAACUGAUGAAAUUGUGGUGAUUGGUUCAUGUAUGACACCACCCGACUCGAUUUUCAAUGAAUGUGAUGAGGGAUUAAAGAGUGUUUUAUCAGAAAUUCGGCUAAACUUGAAAACUGGAAAAUCAACAAGAAGAGCAAUAAUUCAGAAGGAAGAAGAUCAGGUGAAUUUAGAAGCAGGAAUGGUGAACAGAAACAAACUUGGGAGGAAAACAAGGUUUGCAUAUUUGGCCAUUGCAGAACCAUGGCCAAAAGUUUCUGGCUUUGCAAAAGUAGACCUUUUUACUGGUGAAGUAGAAAAGUUUAUUUAUGGAGAUAACAAGUUUGGUGGGGAGCCUCUGUUUUUACCAAGAGACCCUAACAGCAAAGCAGAAGAUGAUGGUUAUAUUCUUGCUUUUGCGCACAAUGAGAAAGAAUGGAAAUCAGAGCUACAAAUUGUGAAUGCAAUGACUAUGAAAUUAGAGGCCACGGUUAAACUUCCAACAAGAGUGCCAUAUGGUUUUCAUGGUACGUUCAUAAAUGCCAAAGAUUUGGCAAAUCAGGCCUAAAAAAAAAAGAGUUGAGUUGGGGUAAAUUUGGACUAUUACAGAGGAGAUUUACCAGAGGGAUGGUUUAGAUGAUACGUCCCCGGAAUUUCUUCUUUAAUAGGGUUCUUAUAGUUUUUUCAUUUUUUUUACUUUUUAAAAAUUGUGAGAGGUUUUCAGAGACCAGCUUGUAGCUUGGAUGUAGUUAGAAAUUGGAGCUCAGCUGGUUUUUCUGCAUAUUCUUUCACAUUUUUAUGUGCAUGUGAGGGAGUAUAUACAUUAUAGGAAACUAUACUCUCUGUUUCUUGUAUAUGAAUGCUGGCCUAUACUAUUUCCACUCUCUUCUUCCAUUUUCUCUACCUUUCUCUUUUUUACCCACUCCCAUUAUUUUAUGUGCCAUUAUUUCUUAUUAAUUUAAUUUUAAACUAAAUCUCAAAACAUGUCACUGUUUGUCUACCAUUUUAAUAUCACAUGUUUUACCUUACUUUUUCUGGGUAUAGAAAAAGGAAAAAAUAUGAAACGUAAAAAUAUUUGUGAAGAAACCCAGUCGAUGGAGCAACAGUCAACUCUUACUGUUAUCUGAAGCUUAUGCUUCAAUGGAGAUGAAGCAGUGGGUCGUCCACCAUGAGAGCCCAGAGAGAGAAGAGAGAGGAUGAGAGAAGGUUCCAGAUGUGUGUAAUUUUCUGAUCAAUUGAAUUAGAAAAAGUGAGUGGAAACACCACUAUAUACAAAUCUAAAAACUAGGCACUAACUAAGCUAAGACAAUUAACUAAUUAAGAGAAUUAACUAAUUAAGAGAAUAAUAUUAUAGUUCUUAACACCCCCCCCCUCAAGUUGGAGGUGUAGCAAACACGGACAACUUGCCCAAUGCAUCGUUGUGCUUGAUCCCUGUCAGAGCUUUAGUCAAAACAUCUGCAAGUUGGUCAUCAGUUCUGAUAUGUUGAAGAGAGAUCAGACCUGCUUGGAGUUCACGUACAAAGUGACAGUCGACCUCUAUAUGCUUGGUUCUUUCGUGAAAUACUGGAUUCCUGGCAAUGUGUAAUGCAGACUGACUAUCACAGUAGACUGAAAUAGGUAGAGAAAAGGGGACAGUCAGUUCUUCAAAUAACCUGCGUAGCCACACUAAUUCACCUACAACUUUUCUCAAGGCUCGAUAUUCUGCUUCUGUAGAAGACAGUGAGAUGGUCUCUUGUUUCUUGGACUUCCAGCUGAUGGGGCUGUUACCUAGCAACACCAAAUAACCACUGAUGGACCUUCUAGAGUCUGGACAAGCAGCCCAGUCAGAGUCACAAUAAGCUCUGACUGUGUGAUCUCCAUCCUUUGACAUAAAGAUUCCCAAGGUAGGAUCAUUCUUUAGGUACCUUAGCAAAUGAAAUGCUGCUCUCAAAUGGGGCUCCCUGGGUUUCUGCAUAAACUGGCUUAAGUGUUGAACACCAUAUGCUAUAUCUAACCUAGUAUUGGUCAAGAAAUUCAGCUUCCCUACUAACUUCCUAUAAUAGGUAGGAUCCUGCAAAUCUGCUCCUUCCUUGGCCUUUAGUUUCACAUUUGGAUCCAAUGGUGAAGAGCAGGUCUUGUGUUCUAGGCAAUCAUACUCCUUUAGCAGGUUCAAUGCAAACUUCUUUUGUGAUAUAAUGACCCCAUCUUCCUUGUACAGAACCUCUAAUCCCAGGAAAUAGUGAAGCUGUCCGAGAUCCUUGAUCCUGAAUUGCUCUUGUCUAACACUAGCCCAGGUGGCACCUGCAUAUAUACCUCUUCAUUGAGAUCUCCAUGCAAGAAGGCAUUGUUUACAUCUAACUGUGAGAUGAGCCAACCUUUCUUGACUACUGUAGCUAUUAAAACUCUGACUGUUGUCAUCUUUACAACUGGGGAAAAAGUUUCUGUAUAAUCUAUUCCUGCCUGUUGAGUGUACCCUUUAACAACUAAUCUGGCCUUGAAUCUCUCAAUGCUACCAUCUGCUUUGUGUUUCACUUUGUACACCCAUCUACAUCCAAUUGCUUGCUUCCCAGGUGGCAGCACUACUAAGUCCCAUGUAUGGUUUGAAUGUAAUGCAUCAAAUUCCUGUGUCAUAGCAGCUUGCCAUGCAGGAUCAAUAGCUGCCUCCUCAUAUGAUGAUGGUUCCCUGUCAUGACAAACAUUUCUCACAAGAGCCUGACUAUCAGGAGUUAGUAGAUCAGAGGCAAUGUGUUGAUUUUCAGAAAAUAAAGCAUUUAGGGAAGUGAAAUUAUUCUUGAAUUUAGGUAAGGAGUGGACAUAGUCCUGUAGAUAUGUAGGAAAUUUAUGAGUUCUGUGUGACUGCCUAGUUGGAUGGAUUUGUUCUGUAUCUGUUUGUGCCAUGUUGUGUUCUGAUGGUGUGUUGUGUGGNNNNNNNNNNNNNNNNNNNNNNNNNUUCACUCGUUUUUUUGGAUCUUGCAGCUUCUACUCUUCUACUCAUGAUCCUUCUUCUGAAUUUUUUUUUCGGGGAGGAGGGAAAGAAAUUGCAAACGAAGUAACUUAACUCUCAAAGAUACAACAUAUAUACGAGUAAUAAAGCAUAAAUAUUUACCGUGUGUAUAUAUAUACGUAUUUCUUUUAAUCGUAUUCUCAUAGAAUAUUUAAUUUCUUGAAUAUCGUCCGAAAUACAGUCCUUAUUAAUCAUGUUUGUAUAUCGCACAUCUUUAAACCAACUACUCAAAUGCAUGAGCUUACCUCAUAUUGACUUUUGAUAAGUUUCUAACUUAAAAGCUUUAUUAACUUGCUCAACUUGCCACUUGACUAUAUAUUAGUGAAAAAGUAUUUUCAAGAUAUCCAUCUCCUGCAUGAUGUCAAGCAUUUACAUGGACAUAAAUUAUCCUCAACACUUGAAGUGAAGUACUUUUUUUAUAUAUACAAAAGCUUACAUCAUUCAUUUAUAAAAGGAUUAAGAAUGAUAACAAUAAAAAUGAUCUCUCUUGCCUUUAUUUCUGUUAAUAGUAAAAUGUAGACAUUUUCAUUCAAAAGGGUGAAGAUUGUAACAUGUAUUUAUACUCUUAAUAAUGGAUGAAAAACAUGGUUAUUGGGUGAAUGUGAGAGUCCACAACACUAAAAGAUAAUAAUUGAAUGGAAAAAAAAUAAAAAUGAUGGGGGCUAAUUGGAUGGGACACAAACGUGUGGGACAUAAUGAUGUGACAGAGAUUUAGAUUAAGUGGAGAAAUUAAACCGACACGUGUUAAGGAGGUGACCCUUGUUAAUUGGGUCGAACGCGGGUUUUUAGCCGAGUGGAAUGGACCAAUUAACGCACCCAAAACACACCCUUCACUUUAACCGAAAGUUACUUGCUUGGUCCAUUUACGAAACUUGGUCUAACUUGAAACAAUCAAACCCUUUCGUAUGUAUAUUUACGCUCGAUAUUUAUACCAAAUAAAUACUCAAAACAAAAUUCAUAUAUUUUGUCUCUCAAUUUUUAUCAUUUUAAUAUGAAUAGGUUAUGUUUUUACUUAAUUUGUGAUUUUUAUAGUUAAAUUGUCUAGUUCUUUCAUAAAAACACCAGUAAAUAUUAUUUUUUGCUAAAUUUCUAAAAGAAAAUUUGAACAGAAGAUAGCUCUUUAAUUUAAAUUUACAUCAAACUUAACUACCUUAGUACUUUUUCCAUUUUCAAGCUUUCUUUUCACAUUAAAUGUUUAUACUUUUUCCAUUUUCAAGCUUUCUUUUUUUGAUGACUUUGUCUUUCUUUCUUCUACUUUUCUUUAUUUUGUCUUUCGGUGUUAAAUUUCUUUUCACUCUUUAACAAUAAACUUUUGACUCAUUUGAAAAGACUUGUACCUUUUGCAGUUUUUCUAUCUUAUAACUAAGGAUUAGAUAUACAGAUUUACUUGCUGCUUGCAUAAACUAAAUACGACACUUAACAUGUUCGAUGCAGAUUCUUCUUCCCCUUUUGAGAGGACCUUAUAUCUCAAGAAAUUACGUUUAAGGGGCUUUUUUUAGAAUUACCAUUUAUAUUUUGAUGCCAUUAAGAAAUAUUUUUAGUAAAAUAGCUCCCGUCCGAAUUUUAAAUUUCGUUAAUUCUUAUAGCGUGCUUCAAAAUUCAGGCAAUAUGCGUUAGAAUUCUGGCAGUAUGCUUCAAAAUUCUGACAACAUAUUUUAAAAUUAUGCCAUCGAGCCGGAUUAUUUUUGGAACUUUUUUAACCGGGGUAAAAAAUCAACAGUGACAUAAAAGUAUUCUAUUUGUGUCAUUCUCCCCUUAAACCUUCUCUGAGGUUGUCUAUUACCAUUACAUUAAACUACAAAUUUUUCCUUCACUCCUUAACAAUCACUAAGAUUUUGUUGAAUGUUAGCUAAUUGCCAUUUAAAAGAACUUAAAACAAAGAGCUCUCUUAUUUGUUGAGGUUGAGGCCGUUGGUAAUGAGGAUACUGUUACUUGGGAGGUGGAAAACAAGAAAAUUCGUCGGGUCAACUUAUGAUUUUAAUGACAAUUAACUCUUUUAUUUAAUUAAAAGACAACCCAAAUAAGAUCAAAAAAAUUCUGAAAAUCAUACAUCAGGAAAACUUUUUAAAAAAUGGCGUAUGAGCAGCAUGUAUGUGUCAAAGAAAAUUCGGCGAUCAAUGGUUUAUAUUUCGAACUAUAGUAUUAUAAAUUGUAAAAGAAAAAAACUAUUACUAUAUUAAAAAUUCAAAUUGUGAUAUCUUGACAUGUGUUAGCUAAAUAUCAGUAACAGCGUAAAGACCUUUUAUAACGAGAGUCAUCCAUCCUAUAUUGGUUGGCAAAAAGUAUUUACUAUUUAUAUUUCUUUUAGAACAAUAGGUGCAUGUAAGUAUAGUAGAUUAGUGAUGCUUAAAAAGCCUUAGAACGUCUAUAACUCCAUACUCAAAUACAAAUAGAAAUAUAAUUUGAUAAACUAAUAUUUCUUCCAAAAAGUCUUGCGUAUAUGUUUCUGAUUUCUUAUUAAUUACGAAAGAAGGAAAAUAGUGGCAAAAGUUUACUAUAUAAAAGCAUACUAAUAAUGAUGUAGAAACAAUGUAGGGGACCCUCAAUUAGGGGUGUCAAUGGAUAUUUAAAAACCGACUAAAUCGAUCGAUUCAUAUCGAACCGAACCGAUUUUAGGUUUUUUUUUAAUAAUAAAAUCGUACGUUUGUUUUAAUAAAAACGCAGGUUUUUACAUAAAUCUAUAACCGUACCGAUAAUUAGGGUAGAAUUUUUAUUUUACAAAAAUAAAUCGAAAAAUUACCGAACCUUACCGAAUAAAUUUACAUGUAUAUCUAUACAUUAAGUUUAAAAAUAAUAAAAUAUUAAAUUUUUCCUUGGACGUUGGAAUUAUGAAAAUAGUUACAAGCCACAAGUAAUUAAACUCAAAAUCCUAAUAUCCAAACAUAUUAUGCUACUCCUAUUGAAACUAAAUUAUUUCCAUCAUAUUCACUAGCAAGAUACAAGUUAUUCUAGCAAUUAUGAGUAGUAAACUACAAUAUGUUAGAAUAUGUUUCCUUUCAUAUGAUUUAGAUUUAUCUUUUUGAAUAUUAAUCUUCUAUAGACUUUAUUUCUUGAAUCUCAACUUGGUUAAUAUCUUUCCACUCGUAUGAUAUAUAUUUGCUUAAUUUCUUUUACGCUGUUGUAGAAUAGUUGAUGGAUCUAUUAUCCGGUCAUCUUUCAUGUUUUCUUAAUUUAUCACUCUUUAAAUAGUAAAAAUAUUUAGAGAGUUUGGUUAAAUCCUAUACAAGUACGUGUUUUAUUGCAUUCUACUUCUAAUAGUGACUUUUAUAUGACAUUAAAAAAGAUACCAAAAAUUAAUCGAACCGUACCGAUACCGAAGAGUAACCGAUAUGAUUGAGACGGUUUCGAAGAGUCUAAUUUUAAUUAUACAUAAUAGAAUAAUCAAAAAAUUGGUAUGAUACAAAAUUUAUAAAAUAACUGGCUGAACCGAACCAUUGACACCCCUACCCUUAAUGGGCCAUUUUUUUUUUAAACCGCUCCCAAAUUAAAAAAAAUUUAUAGUGUUUUCAAAUUUCUCAUCCAGCGUGAUUCGACCCGUGGAGGUACUUUUAAUCAAUGGAGCAAGGCUUACUUGUCCAACGGAUCAUCUCAUUUGUUAGUAUUAUUAGUGUUAGUAGUAAAGACAAUUAAGCGUCCAAAUAUGCAAUUUUCACAUAUCCAACACGUGGUCUUCUCCUACAUGUUAGAAGGUGGACCCCAUCCCACACUUUCCCCUACUCUAUAUAUACAAUUCUCCCUCUUCUCUCUCCCCCCACAACUUAACCAACUCACCUUAAAAAAAACUCUCAUUUCCCACCUCUUUUCUCUCCAAAACUCUCACAUUUUCCUUCACAAUAACACACCCAAAAGCACUCAAAUACAAACAUCAAAAAUAGGUAACUAUGGCAUCUACAACUCCUGCUUCAAAUACAUGGAUUAAGCCCAAGUUAUCAAUGCCAUCUUCAAGAGACUUGGCUUAUUCUUCAAACUCCAUUUCACUAGUUAAAAAACAGCCUAACAGACAACUUCCUAGUAUUAAUUCCUCACUCCAAGCUCCUCCAAUUCUCCAUUUUCCAAAACAAUCUCCAAAUUAUCAAACACCCAAAACUACUACUAUUCCCACUUCAAAACCAACCACAAUUUCAUAUCCAAAACAAGAAAGUACUAAUUCUUCUUCUUCUACAACAAGUCCUCAAUGGAAUUUAGUCCAAAAAGCAGCAGCAAUGGCUUUAGAUGCCGUGGAAAGUGUCUUAACAAAACACGAACUCGAACACCCUUUACCAAAAACAGCCGACCCACGUGUCCAAAUUUCCGGGAAUUUCGCUCCGGUACCGGAAAAUCCCGUCUCUCACUCCCUUCCGGUCACCGGAAAAAUACCCAAAUGUGUUCAAGGCGUUUACGUUCGUAACGGCGCUAACCCGCUUUUCGAACCAACCGCCGGACACCAUUUCUUUGACGGUGACGGCAUGGUUCACGCCGUCCAAUUCAAAAAUGGCUCCGCAAGUUACGCUUGUCGUUUCACUGAAACUGAACGGCUCGUUCAAGAAAAAGCUUUGGGUCGUCCUGUUUUUCCUAAAGCCAUUGGUGAAUUACAUGGCCACUCGGGAAUUGCAAGGCUCAUGCUUUUCUAUGCACGUGGACUGUUUGGACUUGUUGAUCACAGUAGAGGAACUGGAGUUGCAAACGCUGGUUUAGUUUAUUUCAACAACCGUUUGCUUGCUAUGUCCGAGGAUGAUUUACCGUACCAUGUACGUGUAACACCAACUGGUGACCUUAAAACUGUCGGAAGAUUCGAUUUUGAUGGUCAGUUGAAAUCCACAAUGAUAGCUCACCCAAAACUCGACCCUGUUUCAGGGGAGUUAUUUGCUUUGAGCUACGAUGUGAUUCAAAAACCGUACCUUAAGUAUUUCAGGUUUUCGAAAAAUGGGGAGAAAUCCAAUGAUGUUGAAAUCCCAGUUGAAGAUCCAACAAUGAUGCAUGAUUUUGCUAUUACUGAGAAGUUUGUUAUUAUUCCUGAUCAGCAAGUGGUGUUUAAGAUGUCUGAAAUGAUCCGGGGCGGGUCGCCUGUGGUUUACGAUAAGAAUAAAGUUUCAAGAUUUGGUGUUUUGGACAAAUAUGCAAAAGAUGGUGAAGGUUUGAAGUGGGUAGAAGUACCUGAUUGUUUUUGUUUCCAUUUAUGGAAUGCUUGGGAAGAGCCGGAAACUGAUGAAAUUGUGGUGAUUGGUUCAUGUAUGACACCACCCGACUCGAUUUUCAAUGAAUGUGAUGAGGGAUUAAAGAGUGUUUUAUCAGAAAUUCGGCU
RNAcentral lists this long non-coding RNA (8433 nucleotides) under Nicotiana tabacum (common tobacco). RNAcentral's name for it is "long non-coding RNA (NTAB_LNC008864)". Lineage: Eukaryota; Viridiplantae; Streptophyta; Magnoliopsida; Solanales; Solanaceae. The record is from RNAcentral.